RNAcentral lists this long non-coding RNA (279 nucleotides) under Elaeis guineensis (African oil palm). RNAcentral describes it as "long non-coding RNA (EGUI_LNC035460)". The record is from RNAcentral. Lineage: Eukaryota; Viridiplantae; Streptophyta; Magnoliopsida; Arecales; Arecaceae.
UCGUAUGACACCUUGACUAUGUUAUAAUGACCUUUUUGUCACCUAUAACCCAAACGUCUAGUUGAUAGUUCUUUCUUCUUUCGAAGGAAAUAAUUAAUAGUUCUUUUAGCUAAAUCAUAAGUUUAAACUUGGAUCCAGCAUUAAAAGUCACAAAGAACUAGACAACAAAGCAUGCAGUCAGUUGUAACUAGAUUGUGAGGUAACCUUGCAUGUGUUUGUGCUGCAUGUGAGUUGGCAUGGAGGCGGGUGUGUGUGGUCUGUAAGUCUUUGAAAGAUGGC